UUGGUCUUUUUCUUUCUCUAUCUCACUAGGUCUUAUGCCAGCUUCUGUAAUUUAAUUUACAUUUGUACUAUCAGCAUUAUAAAUUUGGGCACUUCAUAUUCAAGCACUAAGUUUCAUGUGAACCUUAAAAAGGCUUGUGUACGCUGCCUGGGCCCCUCUUGAAGUACUCAUGGACAGGUAGCAGAAAGAAGCUACCGUUCUUGUCCCUGGUCUGCUGAGCUCAUCGGUUGUAUUCCCAUGUAUUGUUACUGAAGCUCAAUUGGAUCUUCAAUCAUGUUAUCUCCUAGAAUAAGAGAAGGGGAGACUUCCACGAAUUACAUCAAUUUGGACACACGGUCAGACUGUCAUCCUCUAGAGACGGGGAAUUUGCUGUUUGGCUGCCACAAUUCUGUGUUUGUCAGGGGCCUUCCAGCACUCUGCACACUGUUGCUGCUACUAAUCCUACCAUUUGCAUACAGCACCAGCUGGUCAAAGAGCUGCCCAUGGCAAAAUGAACAGAGAAGUGAACUUUUGAAAAGUAUGAUAUUCAAGUUUUGAAGCUAACUGUCAUGAGUGGGCAGAGGAGGAAUGCU
Molecule: long non-coding RNA, 572 nt
Filed under: Anser brachyrhynchus (Pink-footed goose)
Lineage: Eukaryota; Metazoa; Chordata; Aves; Anseriformes; Anatidae
Description: lncRNA (ENSABRG00000006654.1)
Source: RNAcentral